UACGUAGGGACCAAGCGUUGUUCGGAUUUACUGGGCGUAAAGGGCGCGUAGGCGGCGCGGUGAGUCACUUGUGAAAUCUCUGAGCUUAACUCAGAACGGCCAAGUGAUACUGCAGUGCUAGAGUGUGGAAGGGGCAAUCGGAAUUCUUGGUGUAGCGGUGAAAUGCGUAGAUAUCAAGAGGAACACCUGAGGUGAAGACGGGUUGCUGGGCCAACACUGACGCUGAGGCGCGAAAGCCAGGGGAGCAAACGGG
RNAcentral lists this ribosomal RNA (253 nucleotides) under uncultured bacterium. Its description in RNAcentral is "partial 16S ribosomal RNA". It matches the Rfam family "Bacterial small subunit ribosomal RNA", at positions 524 to 776 of the family's 1533-position model. The record is from RNAcentral.